CCUGGUGGCUCAGAUGGUAAAGAAUUUGCCUGCAAUGCAAGAGAUCUGGGUUCGAUCCUUGCAUCUGGA
RNAcentral lists this transfer RNA (69 nucleotides) under Bos taurus (domestic cattle). It matches the Rfam family "tRNA". From Rfam's summary of the family: Transfer RNA (tRNA) molecules are approximately 80 nucleotides in length. RNAcentral also lists the same sequence under 5 other names. Lineage: Eukaryota; Metazoa; Chordata; Mammalia; Artiodactyla; Bovidae. The record is from Rfam by way of RNAcentral.